RNAcentral lists this ribosomal RNA (301 nucleotides) under uncultured bacterium. RNAcentral's name for it is "partial 16S ribosomal RNA". It matches the Rfam family "Bacterial small subunit ribosomal RNA", at positions 509 to 809 of the family's 1533-position model. The record is from RNAcentral.
CAGCCGCCGCGGUAAUACAGAGGGUGCGAGCGUUAAUCGGAUUUAAUGGGCGUAAAGCGUGCGUAGGCGGCUUUUUAAGUCGGAUGUGAAAUCCCUGAGCUUAACUUAGGAAUUGCAUUCGAUACUGGGAAGCUAGAGUAUGGGAGAGGAUGGUAGAAUUCCAGGUGUAGCGGUGAAAUGCGUAGAGAUCUGGAGGAAUACCGAUGGCGAAGGCAGCCAUCUGGCCUAAUACUGACGCUGAGGUACGAAAGCAUGGGGAGCAAACAGGAUUAGAUACCCCUGUAGUCCCUGUCUUUUAUAA